Molecule: signal recognition particle RNA, 99 nt
Filed under: Acidimicrobiaceae bacterium
Lineage: Bacteria; Bacillati; Actinomycetota; Acidimicrobiia; Acidimicrobiales; Acidimicrobiaceae
Description: signal recognition particle sRNA small type
Rfam family: Bacterial small signal recognition particle RNA
About the family: The signal recognition particle (SRP) is a universally conserved ribonucleoprotein involved in the co-translational targeting of proteins to membranes.
Source: RNAcentral
GGCUGGGCCCUACGCGGCGCAGUUCUGUGAAUCGGGUCAGGGCCGGAAGGCAGCAGCCCUCAGCAGUUGACUGUGGGUGCCGUAGUCAGCCUGGCUGUC